GGUGGCUCAGAGGUAGAGCGCUUGCCUAGCAUGCAUGAAGCCCUGGGUUCGAUUCCUCAGCACCA
Molecule: transfer RNA, 65 nt
Filed under: Dipodomys ordii (Ord's kangaroo rat)
Lineage: Eukaryota; Metazoa; Chordata; Mammalia; Rodentia; Heteromyidae
Rfam family: tRNA
About the family: Transfer RNA (tRNA) molecules are approximately 80 nucleotides in length. Their secondary structure includes four short double-helical elements and three loops (D, anti-codon, and T loops). Further hydrogen bonds mediate the characteristic L-shaped molecular structure. tRNAs have two regions of fundamental functional importance: the anti-codon, which is responsible for specific mRNA codon recognition, and the 3' end, to which the tRNAs corresponding amino acid is attached (by aminoacyl-tRNA synthetases). tRNAs cope with the degeneracy of the genetic code in two manners: having more than one tRNA (with a specific anti-codon) for a particular amino acid; and 'wobble' base-pairing, i.e. permitting non-standard base-pairing at the 3rd anti-codon position.
Source: Rfam by way of RNAcentral